GUGCCAGCAGCCGCGGUAAUACGUAGGUGGCAAGCGUUAUCCGGAAUUAUUGGGCGUAAAGCGCGCGUAGGCGGUUUUUUAAGUCUGAUGUGAAAGCCCACGGCUCAACCGUGGAGGGUCAUUGGAAACUGGAGAACUUGAGUGCAGAAGAGGAAAGUGGAAUUCCAUGUGUAGCGGUGAAAUGCGCAGAGAUAUGGAGGAACACCAGUGGCGAAGGCGACUUUCUGGUCUGUAACUGACGCUGAUGUGCGAAAGCGUGGGGAUCAAACAGGAUUAG
This 277-nucleotide ribosomal RNA is filed under the name uncultured Staphylococcus sp. Its description in RNAcentral is "partial 16S ribosomal RNA". It matches the Rfam family "Bacterial small subunit ribosomal RNA", at positions 505 to 781 of the family's 1533-position model. Lineage: Bacteria; Bacillati; Bacillota; Bacilli; Caryophanales; Staphylococcaceae. The record is from RNAcentral.